RNAcentral lists this ribosomal RNA (498 nucleotides) under uncultured bacterium. RNAcentral describes it as "partial 16S ribosomal RNA". It matches the Rfam family "Bacterial small subunit ribosomal RNA", at positions 30 to 523 of the family's 1533-position model. The record is from RNAcentral.
AUUGAACGCUGGCGGCAUGCUUUACACAUGCAAGUCGAACGGUAACAGGCCGCAAGGUGCUGACGAGUGGCGAACGGGUGAGUAAUGUAUCGGAACGUGCCCAGUCGUGGGGGAUAACGCAGCGAAAGCUGCGCUAAUACCGCAUACGAUCUAUGGAUGAAAGCGGGGGACCGUAAGGCCUCGCGCGAUUGGAGCGGCCGAUAUCAGAUUAGGUAGUUGGUGGGGUAAAGGCUCACCAAGCCAACGAUCUGUAGCUGGUCUGAGAGGACGACCAGCCACACUGGGGCUGAGACACGGCCCAGACUCCUACGGGAGGCAGCAGCGGGGAAUUUUGGACAAUGGGCGCAAGCCUGAUCCAGCAAUGCCGCGUGCAGGAAGAAGGCCUUCGGGUUGUAAACUGCUUUUGUACGGAACGAAACGGUCUGGGUUAAUACCUCGGGCUAAUGACGGUACCGUAAGAAUAAGCACCGGCUAACUACGUGCCAGCAGCCGCGGUAA